Long non-coding RNA from Panicum virgatum (switchgrass), 1121 nucleotides. RefSeq lists it as uncharacterized. The transcript has 3 exons. NCBI's taxonomy places the organism in Eukaryota, Viridiplantae, Streptophyta, Magnoliopsida, Poales, Poaceae. The record is from RefSeq and is a predicted model, not a curated record.
ACGCAAGAAACUGACAAUGCUAUAUGUAGGUCCAACAUUGUCUUUGAAUCUUGCAUUCGUUCCUUCACUCCUUCCAGUGCUCUGUAUGAAUGGGAAGAAGUCAUUUUUGAAGUACACAGCAUCUCAAAUUCCUCUUCUGUCACUGAGAAGUUUACUGUGUCUUCAAAUAUUUCUGGAAUGCACAUGCAAACAAGCAUGUGUGUGCAUGCCCUGUAAUCCCAACAAAUGGUGCAAAUGGUAGGUUAUAUCUGUUUGUCAUGUACGUAGUGUCAAAGCUCACACAUUCACCAUAUUCUGCAUACCACUUUAGUGAUAUUCCUUCCCUCCAGAAAAGAUUUUUGACCUUCAUGUCAUUGUCCACUUGGAACCUGUAGUAGAAUGUUGGAUCUUCUGCUUUUCUUUUUCUGAAGUAGUCCAUUGCUUGUGUCAUGUCAUUACCUGUAACCUCUCUGUUAAUUUUUGUUCUCAGAUUUUGCACAUCUUUUGUCUUGUAUGGCAGUGCUGUCAAUCCUCCUCUCAGGUAAGACAGGAUAGCUAUCAUUUUUCUUGUAGGUAUAUUGUUGUCAUUGAGUGUCCUUAUUAUCCCUUUCUCCAUAUCUGUCAUGUAUUUUUUCCCACUGAACAACUGAUUUCUCCUCUGUGGGCUGAGCUCAUGGUUGUGGUCUAAAUCAAGUCUAAUAAUUUUCCAGACCCCCAAUGCUUCCUUAACCACCAUCACACACUUGCAGUCUGUCUUGACCUGUACAUUUGUUUUUCUUUUGGUCUUGUCCUUCCUAUUGCCAUCCUCCAUCAUAGUUUCUUCUGUGUUUUCUUCUUCAGAUUUCUUUUCUUGCUUCCCAUAGCGAUGACAUUUCAUUUCUUGCUUGUAUAUCUCCUUGUUCCUGUUCUUUGCUGAUGUUCUAGCUACAUGUGAAACAACUACUUGAAAUCCAGCUAGAAACCCAUAAAAUGAGAAGAAAUGAUUGGCAUCAUCUCUGCUUUUAAAUUCUUGUCCAAUCUGAGGUGUGUAUUUGCUGUCUAUGUCCGCAUUGUUCCCUUCUGCUGCAGCUUGCUGCUCACUCUUUAGAAAUUCUUCUAUUUCCUCCUCUGUCAGUGGUUGGCUGCCAUUUGUAUCAUUUUCA